AUUGAACGCUGGCGGCAGGCCUAACACAUGCAAGUCGAACGGUAACAGGAAACAGCUUGCUGUUUCGCUGACGAGUGGCGGACGGGUGAGUAAUGUCUGGGAAACUGCCUGAUGGAGGGGGAUAACUACUGGAAACGGUAGCUAAUACCGCAUAACGUCGCAAGACCAAAGAGGGGGACCCUCGGGCCUCUUGCCAUCGGAUGUGCCCAGAUGGGAUUAGCUUGUUGGUGGGGUAACGGCUCACCAAGGCGACGAUCCCUAGCUGGUCUGAGAGGAUGACCAGCCACACUGGAACUGAGACACGGUCCAGACUCCGACGGGAGGCAGCAGUGGGGAAUAUUGCACAAUGGGCGCAAGCCUGAUGCAGCCAUGCCGCGUGUAUGAAGAAGGCCUUCGGGUUGUAAAGUACUUUCAGCGGGGAGGAAGGGAGUAAGGUUAAUACCUGUGCUCAUUGACGUUACCCGCAGAAGAAGCACCGGCUAACUCCGUG
Molecule: ribosomal RNA, 490 nt
Filed under: uncultured bacterium
Lineage: Bacteria
Description: partial 16S ribosomal RNA
Rfam family: Bacterial small subunit ribosomal RNA
Source: RNAcentral